AUACGGAGGAUCCGAGCGUUAUCCGGAUUUAUUGGGUUUAAAGGGUGCGCAGGCGGCCAUUUAAGUCAGCGGUUAAAUCGUGGGGCUCAACCCCAUUCUGCCGUUGAUACUGGGUGGCUUGAUUGCGGUCGAGGUUGGCGGAAUUCGUUGUGUAGCGGUGAAAUGCAUAGAUAUGACGAAGAACACCGAUUGCGUAGGCAGCUGACCAGACCGCAAAUGACGCUCAUGCACGAAAGUGCGGGGAUCGAACAGGAUUAGAUACCCUGGUAGGCCUCACAGUAAACGAUGAAUGCUUGUUUUCGGCGAUAUAAUGUCGGAGGCAAAGCGAAAGCGAUAAGUAUUCCACCUGGGGAGUACGCCGGCAACGGUGAAACUCAAAGGAAUUGACGGGG
Molecule: ribosomal RNA, 392 nt
Filed under: uncultured bacterium
Lineage: Bacteria
Description: partial 16S ribosomal RNA
Rfam family: Bacterial small subunit ribosomal RNA
Source: RNAcentral